This 786-nucleotide ribosomal RNA is filed under the name uncultured bacterium. RNAcentral describes it as "bacterial SSU rRNA". It matches the Rfam family "Bacterial small subunit ribosomal RNA", at positions 66 to 865 of the family's 1533-position model. The record is from RNAcentral.
GCGGUAAGGCCCUUCGGGGUACACGAGCGGCGAACGGGUGAGUAACACGUGGGUAACCUGCCCUGUACUCUGGGAUAAGCCUGGGAAACUAGGUCUAAUACCGGAUAUGACUCCAUUAGGCAUCUUGUGGGGUGGAAAGUUCCGGCGGUACAGGAUGGACCCGCGGCCUAUCAGCUUGUUGGUGGGGUAAUGGCCUACCAAGGCGACGACGGGUAGCCGGCCUGAGAGGGUGACCGGCCACACUGGGACUGAGACACGGCCCAGACUCCUACGGGAGGCAGCAGUGGGGAAUAUUGCACAAUGGGCGAAAGCCUGAUGCAGCGACGCCGCGUGAGGGAUGACGGCCUUCGGGUUGUAAACCUCUUUCAGCAGGGACGAAGCGCAAGUGACGGUACCUGCAGAAGAAGCACCGGCUAACUACGUGCCAGCAGCCGCGGUAAUACGUAGGGUGCGAGCGUUGUCCGGAAUUAUUGGGCGUAAAGAGCUCGUAGGCGGUUUGUUGCGUCGGCUGUGAAAACUUCACGCUUAACGUGGAGCCUGCAGUCGAUACGGGCAGACUUGAGUUCGGCAGGGGAGACUGGAAUUCCUGGUGUAGCGGUGAAAUGCGCAGAUAUCAGGAGGAACACCGGUGGCGAAGGCGGGUCUCUGGGCCGAUACUGACGCUGAGGAGCGAAAGCGUGGGGAGCGAACUAGGAUUAGAUACCUCUGGUAGUCCACGCCGUAAACGGUGGGUGCUAGGUGUGGGGGACUUCCACGUAAUACCGUGCCGCAGCUAACGCAUUAAGC